GACGAACGCUGGCGGCGUGCUUAACACAUGCAAGUCGAACGGAAAGGCCCUGCUCUUGUGGGGUGCACGAUUGGCGAACGGGUGAGUAACACGUGAGUAACCUGCCCUUGACUGUGGGAUAACUUCAGGAAACUGCGGCUAAUACCCGAUAGAAGCUCUUGCUGCAUGUGGGGGGUUGGAAAGAUUCGGCUGUUGGGGAUGGACUCGCGGGUUAUCAGCUUGAUUGUGUGGUAGUUGCUUACCAAGGGUUUGACGGGUAGGCUGCAUGAGAGGGUGGACGGCCACAUUAGGACUGAGAUACGGCCCAGACUGCUACGGGAGGCAGCAGUGGGGAAUAUUGCACAAUGGGCGGAAGCCUGAUGCAGCAACGCCGGGUGCGGGAUGACGGCCUUCGGGUUGUAAACCGCUUUCGCCUGUGACGAAGCGUGAGUGACGGUAAUGGGUAAAGAAGCACCGGCUAACUACGUG
This 468-nucleotide ribosomal RNA is filed under the name uncultured bacterium. RNAcentral describes it as "partial 16S ribosomal RNA". It matches the Rfam family "Bacterial small subunit ribosomal RNA", at positions 28 to 507 of the family's 1533-position model. The record is from RNAcentral.